This 460-nucleotide ribosomal RNA is filed under the name uncultured bacterium. RNAcentral's name for it is "partial 16S ribosomal RNA". It matches the Rfam family "Bacterial small subunit ribosomal RNA", at positions 338 to 795 of the family's 1533-position model. The record is from RNAcentral.
CCUACGGGUGGCAGCAGUGAGGAAUAUUGGUCAAUGGGCGCUAGCCUGAACCAGCCAAGUAGCGUGAAGGAUGACUGCCCUAUGGGUUGUAAACUUCUUUUAUAUGGGAAUAAAGUGCAGUAUGUAUACUGCUUUGCAUGUACCUUAUGAAUAAUGAUCGGCUAACUCCGUGCCAGCAGCCGCGGUAAUACGGAGGAUCCGAGCGUUGUCCGGAUUUAUUGGGUUGAAAGGGAGCGUAGGCGGGUUGUUAAGUCAGUUGUGAAAGUUGGCGGCUCAACCGUAAAAUUGCAGUUGAUACUGGCAGCCUUGAGUACAGGAGAGGUAGGCGGAAUUCGUGGUGUAGCAGUGAAAUGCUUAGAUAUCGCGAGGAACACCGGUUGCGAAGGCAGCCUGCUGGACUGUAACUGACGCUGAUGCUCGAAAGUGUGGGUAUCAAACGGGAUUAGAUACCCUUGUAGUC